RNAcentral lists this long non-coding RNA (2012 nucleotides) under Salmo salar (Atlantic salmon). RNAcentral describes it as "lncRNA (ENSSSAG00000099471.1)". The record is from RNAcentral. Lineage: Eukaryota; Metazoa; Chordata; Actinopteri; Salmoniformes; Salmonidae.
CACAUCCCAGUCCGUACUGCCCAAAGUUACGCAGGUGUCCACAUCCCAGUCCGUACUUCCCAAAGUUACGCAUGCGUCCACAUCCCAGUCCGUCCUGCCCAAAGUUACGCAUGCGUCCACAUCCCAGUCCGUCUUGCCCAAAGUUAUACAUGCGUCCACAUCCCAGUCCGUACUGCCCAAAGUUACGCAUGCGUCCACAUCCCAGUCCGUACUGCCCAAAGUUACGCAUGCGUCCACAUCCCAGUCCGUACUGCCCAAAGUUACGCAUGCGUCCACAUCCCAGUCCGUACUGCCCAAAGUUAUGCAAGCGUCCACAUCCCAGUCCGUACUGCCCAAAGAUACGCAUGCGUCCACAUCCCAGUCUGUACUGCCCAAAGUUACGCAUGCGUCCACAUCCCAGUCCGUCCUGCCCAAAGUUACGCAUGCGUCCACAUCCCAGUCCGUCCUGCCCAAAGUUACGCAUGCGUCCACAUCCCAGUCCGUCUUGCCCAAAGUUAUACAUGCGUCCACAUCCCAGUCCGUACUGCCCAAAGUUACGCAAGCGUCCACAUCCCAGUCCGUACUGCCCAAAGAUACGCAUGCGUCCACAUCCCAGUCUGUACUGCCCAAAGUUACGCAUGCGUCCACAUCCCAGUCCGUCCUGCCCAAAGUUACGCAUGCGUCCACAUCCCAGUCCGUACUGCCCAAAGUUACGCAUGCGUCCACAUCCCAGUCCGUCCUGCCCAAAGUUACGCAUGCGUCCACAUCCCAGUCCGUCCUGCCCAAAGUUACGCAUGCGUCCACAUCCCAGUCCGUACUGCCCAGUUACGCAUGCGUCCACAUCCCAGUCCGUACUGCCCAAAGUUACGCAUGUGUCAGUUUUGUAGCUAAACAACCAACCCGUCUAUAUGACUGAAGAGUGAGACAGACAGCUGUUUAAAUGACAUCACUGGAGACUGAGACAGGUUUAAAUGACAUCACUGGAGAGUGAGACAGGUUUAAAUGACAUCACUGGAGAGUGAGACAGGUUUAAAAUGUCAUCACUGGAGAGUGAGACAUGUUUAAAUGACAUCACUGGAGAGUGAGACAGGUUUAAAAUGACAUCACUGGAGAGUGAGACAGGUUUAAAUGACAUCACUGGAGAGUGAUAGGACUAAUGCCGCGUUCAAAACUACUGGGAAUUCGUAACAAUACGAGGUCAAACCAUAACGUCAGUGAUCUUCAGGUCGGAAAGUCGGAGCUCUAGAAAGAGGCCCGAGUUGGAUGACCGUUCAAAUCGAUUUCUCCCCAGUCAGAUCUGGUUUAUCGAAUUCCCAGUUGUUUUGAACGCAGCAAAAGUAACAUUGACCUGGCAGGGUUGGUACAUAUUCUACUAACCCUGACCCAGCUUUGAAAAACCCUAACCCUCGCCCAUUUCUGAACAGUCCUAACCCUAACCCUGACCCAGCUCUGAACGGUCCCAACCCUAACCCAGCUCUGAACGGUCUUAACCCUAACCCUGACCCAGCUCUGAACGGUCCCAACCCUAACCCUAACCCAGCUCUGAACGGUCCCGACCCUAACCCAGCUCUGAAUGGUCCUAACCCUAACCCAGCUCUGAACGGUCCCGACACUAACCCUAACCCAGCUCUGAACGGUCCCAACCAUAACCCAGCUCUGAACGGUCCCAACCCUAACCCUGACCCAGCUCUGAACGGUCUCAACCCUAACCCUAACCCAGCUCUGAACGGUCCCAACCCUGACCCAGCUCUGAACGGUCCCGACCCUGACCAUGAACCCAGCUCUGAACGGUCCCGACCCUAACCCUGACCCAGCUCUGAACGGUCCCGACCCUAACCCUGACCCAGCUCUGAACGGUCCCAACCCUAACCCAGCUCUGAACGGUCCCAACCCUAACCCUAAGCCAGCUCUGAAUGUUCUUAAUCCUAACCCAGCUCUGAACGGUCCCAACCCUAACCCUAAGCCAGCUCUGAACGGUCCUAACCCUAACCCAGCUCUGAACGGUCCCAACCCUAACCCAGCUCUGAACGGUC